RNAcentral lists this ribosomal RNA (2527 nucleotides) under Escherichia coli. RNAcentral's name for it is "partial 23S ribosomal RNA". It matches the Rfam family "Bacterial large subunit ribosomal RNA", at positions 418 to 2925 of the family's 2925-position model. RNAcentral also lists the same sequence under 1 other name. The record is from RNAcentral. Lineage: Bacteria; Pseudomonadati; Pseudomonadota; Gammaproteobacteria; Enterobacterales; Enterobacteriaceae.
CGGGACACGUGGUAUCCUGUCUGAAUAUGGGGGGACCAUCCUCCAAGGCUAAAUACUCCUGACUGACCGAUAGUGAACCAGUACCGUGAGGGAAAGGCGAAAAGAACCCCGGCGAGGGGAGUGAAAAAGAACCUGAAACCGUGUACGUACAAGCAGUGGGAGCCUCUUAAUGGGGUGACUGCGUACCUUUUGUAUAAUGGGUCAGCGACUUAUAUUCUGUAGCAAGGUUAACCGAAUAGGGGAGCCGAAGGGAAACCGAGUCUUAACUGGGCGUUAAGUUGCAGGGUAUAGACCCGAAACCCGGUGAUCUAGCCAUGGGCAGGUUGAAGGUUGGGUAACACUAACUGGAGGACCGAACCGACUAAUGUUGAAAAAUUAGCGGAUGACUUGUGGCUGGGGGUGAAAGGCCAAUCAAACCGGGAGAUAGCUGGUUCUCCCCGAAAGCUAUUUAGGUAGCGCCUCGUGAAUUCAUCUCCGGGGGUAGAGCACUGUUUCGGCAAGGGGGUCAUCCCGACUUACCAACCCGAUGCAAACUGCGAAUACCGGAGAAUGUUAUCACGGGAGACACACGGCGGGUGCUAACGUCCGUCGUGAAGAGGGAAACAACCCAGACCGCCAGCUAAGGUCCCAAAGUCAUGGUUAAGUGGGAAACGAUGUGGGAAGGCCCAGACAGCCAGGAUGUUGGCUUAGAAGCAGCCAUCAUUUAAAGAAAGCGUAAUAGCUCACUGGUCGAGUCGGCCUGCGCGGAAGAUGUAACGGGGCUAAACCAUGCACCGAAGCUGCGGCAGCGACACUGUGUGUUGUUGGGUAGGGGAGCGUUCUGUAAGCCUGCGAAGGUGUGCUGUGAGGCAUGCUGGAGGUAUCAGAAGUGCGAAUGCUGACAUAAGUAACGAUAAAGCGGGUGAAAAGCCCGCUCGCCGGAAGACCAAGGGUUCCUGUCCAACGUUAAUCGGGGCAGGGUGAGUCGACCCCUAAGGCGAGGCCGAAAGGCGUAGUCGAUGGGAAACAGGUUAAUAUUCCUGUACUUGGUGUUACUGCGAAGGGGGGACGGAGAAGGCUAUGUUGGCCGGGCGACGGUUGUCCCGGUUUAAGCGUGUAGGCUGGUUUUCCAGGCAAAUCCGGAAAACCAAGGCUGAGGCGUGAUGACGAGGCACUACGGUGCUGAAGCGACAAAUGCCCUGCUUCCAGGAAAAGCCUCUAAGCAUCAGGUAACAUCAAAUCGUACCCCAAACCGACACAGGUGGUCAGGUAGAGAAUACCAAGGCGCUUGAGAGAACUCGGGUGAAGGAACUAGGCAAAAUGGUGCCGUAACUUCGGGAGAAGGCACGCUGAUAUGUAGGUGAAGCGACUUGCUCGUGGAGCUGAAAUCAGUCGAAGAUACCAGCUGGCUGCAACUGUUUAUUAAAAACACAGCACUGUGCAAACACGAAAGUGGACGUAUACGGUGUGACGCCUGCCCGGUGCCGGAAGGUUAAUUGAUGGGGUUAGCGGCAACGCGAAGCUCUUGAUCGAAGCCCCGGUAAACGGCGGCCGUAACUAUAACGGUCCUAAGGUAGCGAAAUUCCUUGUCGGGUAAGUUCCGACCUGCACGAAUGGCGUAAUGAUGGCCAGGCUGUCUCCACCCGAGACUCAGUGAAAUUGAACUCGCUGUGAAGAUGCAGUGUACCCGCGGCAAGACGGAAAGACCCCGUGAACCUUUACUAUAGCUUGACACUGAACAUUGAGCCUUGAUGUGUAGGAUAGGUGGGAGGCUUUGAAGUGUGGACGCCAGUCUGCAUGGAGCCGACCUUGAAAUACCACCCUUUAAUGUUUGAUGUUCUAACGUUGGCCCCUAAUCGGGGUUGCGGACAGUGUCUGGUGGGUAGUUUGACUGGGGCGGUCUCCUCCUAAAGAGUAACGGAGGAGCACGAAGGUUGGCUAAUCCUGGUCGGACAUCAGGAGGUUAGUGCAAUGGCAUAAGCCAGCUUGACUGCGAGCGUGACGGCGCGAGCAGGUGCGAAAGCAGGUCAUAGUGAUCCGGUGGUUCUGAAUGGAAGGGCCAUCGCUCAACGGAUAAAAGGUACUCCGGGGAUAACAGGCUGAUACCGCCCAAGAGUUCAUAUCGACGGCGGUGUUUGGCACCUCGAUGUCGGCUCAUCACAUCCUGGGGCUGAAGUAGGUCCCAAGGGUAUGGCUGUUCGCCAUUUAAAGUGGUACGCGAGCUGGGUUUAGAACGUCGUGAGACAGUUCGGUCCCUAUCUGCCGUGGGCGCUGGAGAACUGAGGGGGGCUGCUCCUAGUACGAGAGGACCGGAGUGGACGCAUCACUGGUGUUCGGGUUGUCAUGCCAAUGGCACUGCCCGGUAGCUAAAUGCGGAAGAGAUAAGUGCUGAAAGCAUCUAAGCACGAAACUUGCCCCGAGAUGAGUUCUCCCUGAGACUUAGAGUCUCCUGAAGGAACGUUGAAGACGACGACGUUGAUAGGCCGGGUGUGUAAGCGCAGCGAUGCGUUGAGCUAACCGGUACUAAUGAACCGUGAGGCUUAACCUU